UGAAAGCAAUGGUACAUCACAUUUCAAUACUAACAUUGAAUGUGAAUGGCCUAAAUGCUCCACUUAAAAGAUACAGAAAUACAGAAUGGAUAACAACUCACCAAUAACUCUCUGCUGCCUUCAGGAGACUCACCUAACAUGUAAGGACACACAUAAACUUAAAGUAAAGGGGUGGAAAAAGGCAUUUCAUGAAAAGAGAACAGGGGUAGCUAUUCUUAUCAGACAAAACAAAUUUUAAAGUGGGCAAAUUCAGGUUCUCCAGCACUGUAGUGGUAGUCACUGGCUCAAGUUAGAGGCCAACUGAGAAGUCUUCGUGCCUCAGAUUUGUUGACCUACAGAAUGCUUCGGUAUCUAUAUUUUUGUAGAAUGUAUAAAGAAUGUUUUUCAUGUUGGUUGGAAUCUGGCAUACGUAAUUUGGGUGUCUGGCCAAAAGGAAUACAUACUACAGCAGAAAAAUAUAAAGAAUGUGAAACCCAGGGGCAAAAAGAUCAAACUCAAGCCCAGCAGUUACACAGAUCUCGAGAUAUUUUGAAACUGUGGCUAAAUUACACAUUCUCGUAAUGCUGGAUGAAGCUGUUCAUUGUUUGUCACCACAAAAUGACAGAUUUUUCUAGAUAUGACAUUUGGUUCGGGAAGGUACACAAAAACCACUCUACAGCAGUUAGACAUUGUUCUGUAUGCCUUAGACAGGGACCCAACAGCUUAUGCAUUAGGUGAACAUCUUUCAGAGUUGUAUCCGAAACAAAUCUGAGUUAUGCUGGGCCAAUUCAGCCAGGCAGAAGCCUUAUUAAUGAAAGUUGGAGUGCAGCCAGGGACUUCAGAUGGAGUUCUUAUGGAUCCUGGGUGUUCCUCCAUGCAACCUGAUACUCACGAAAGAGUUUUUUCCCUUUGGAAAGAUGGCCCCUUGGACAUGAGGAUGGAUGGUGGCAGGUAACCUGAUGUGCCCCUGCAGUUAAUGUUGUGAAUGCUUUAAAUCAACAGGCACUUGCAUCUACCCUAAGAACAUGUGGGAAGGAGAAGCAUGCCAAGAAAAUUGCUUCAGCAAUUGUUCAGACAUGCAGCAUCUACCACAUCACCAGAACCCAGCAGCUUGCCAGCAUCGUCACAGGUGCAUUUCCUCCCUCUGCUAUUUAUGCACAAAAUGAUGUGCUACAGCGAUCGACGCAUAUUGCCACCAAGACUUUCCAGGCUCUUUGCAUAUUUUUGAACAAUGAGCUCAAUGAACUCUACACAGGACUAAAGAUGGCUUAGAAGUUUCUGAGACCUGGUGGUUGUCUUGUUGCCCUCUCUUUCCAUUCACUAGAGGAUCGCAUUGUCAAAAGGUUUUUGCCUGGAAUAAGCAUGACAGAAAGGUUUAACCUAAGUGUUAGACAGCAAAUGAUGAAAACAUUGCAAUUGGGUUCAGAUCAUGAAAACAUGGAAGAAGUCUCCAUGAGAAGAGCUCCUUUAAUGUGGGAAUUGAUAUACAAGAAGGUGCUUAGUCCACAAGAUCAGGAUGUACAAGAUAACCCUAGAGGGUGCUCAGCCAAGCUUAGAGCAGCUAUCAAAUUAUAAGUUACCAUCAUCUUAUCCUUCAAAUUUUUUUUCUCACAAUUUCUCUAAUCUUUACUCAUGUUAUAUUCCUGAAUGUCUUCGUGUAGGUUUAAGUGUGGGACAGUCUGAAAACUGACAGCAUUUAGCAUUUAUUUUUCCUUAAAAAGAAACUAUAGGAAAUACUAGCAUGACAGAGAAAGUUCCAUUCAGGGAGCAGCAGCAUCUCAAGACUAGAAAAAUGUGUUAAUUUUUGCAUCGUGUUGGACUCUUGAAACGCAGUUCUUCCUCUGGCCAGGACAUUUAAAAAAAUACUAUGUUGUGUUUAUCUAAAUACGUAAACUCAAACUGAAAGAGAAAAGAAAGAUAUUAUAAUCACACCUGCAUGUCCUAAAUUUUGAAUUUAGAUAUUCCAAUUCGCAACAGUCUUUCUCUGGCUCAAAUAAUGAUGAUUAUGGAAUGAAUUUUAAUGUCUCUACUUGUGAAUAAUUACUGUAGCUUUUGCAAAUAUAGGCUUUUUAUAAAUUUUAAAAUAUUAGUUUAAAUAUGUGUUAUAUUGAUAAAAUUUUAUUUUUCAAAUUAUAGUCCAUUAUUUUAAAGGUAUUUUUCAGUAUGAUAUGGGCCAUUUUCUUCAUAUAUCACAAAGUAAAAAUGUAAAAUCUUUACAGAGAUUUCACAAAACUUAUAUUUUGUGUCAAUUGUAUUUAUUUUAAUAAUAACUCACAAUGCCUUUAGUAAGUAAUAAAGUCUCUUAUUAGAAUUUUGUAGUUUUUAGUUGAGCUAAUCAAAAUAAUUCAGCCAAGUCUAUUUGAAAUAGAAAACUAUCUAUUUAACAUAGUAAAAUGAAUGCCCCCUUAAUGUUGUCACAAAGAUAUGGUAACUGUUAUAAGGGUAAAAGUUUAUUCAGGAAAAGAAUACUUGGUAGAAUAUUCUUUAACAAAUUGAUGAAAUUGAUCCAUAAUUCACAUAUCAACUUUUUAUAUGUAAUAUCUACUUUUAACUUAUUCAGUUAUUCAGCAAGUACUGAACUAUUUAUCAUUAGAAAAGCAAAACUAAGUACAAUAUACAUAACCCACAGUGCAUGUCCUAUAGAGUUUAGUAGAGGAAAAUUAUGUUAGUUAUAAUCACAAAAAUCAGUAUAAAAUGGACACAGUGGUAAAUACUACAAACAGGUCGUACAUGGUACAAUAAGAGCAUCUAGUAAGGAUUUAAUCUGUUGUCAGAAACCAGGUAUGAGAACAUGAUACUUUAACUGUGACCUGAAGGAUAAGUUGUAGAUAAUUAGUCAAAGGACACAUGGGGUAGGAAAGGGGGCAUAUUGAUUAAUGGUACAUAUAAAUGAAUAUUCUCUUAGUUAUUCUUGAAAUCAUAUUUAUACUAUUAAUUUGCUCAGUAAACUUUUUUCAAGCACAGAAAAAAGAUUCUCCAUUAUGGUUACAAAUUUUAAGUUGGUGAAUCCAAGUGAAUGAAAUAUCAGCAUAACUGUAUGGGCAAAAUAGAUAAGAAUUAAAUACAUGAAUUUAUCUCAGACGUAUUUGAUCUACCACUGUAAUAUUUAACGGUAGUACCCAGGGUCAUUUACUACUUCUGCUUUACAGGCUUUAUUUAAAUCUGAACAAUCCUACAGGGAUAUCAGAAUUUAAAAAGAAUCUGGAGAACAAUAUGUUUGAAAUAGAAACAAGAGAGUGUACCUAGGUUAAUUCCCUGAAUUUUACUUGAACAAUGUAUACAUUUCUAUUUGCAUGUAACACAUAUUUGUGAAUGAGAUAUAUUCCCAAAAAACUCUUAGUCCUGUAUGUGAUUGGAAAAUAAAAGAUAUUUGUAUAUUCAACAAUCAUUCACCUACUUCAUAAGUCCUUUUUUCAUCCUGUAUAGUAUAGAAAUUAUUUUUUAUGUUAAAUAGGAACUGAAUACACUGGGUUGACAGAAUGCAUGUACUACCUAGAGCCUUGGAAUGUGACAUUAUUUGAAAAUACUGUGGUGGUGGUUGUGUGGUUUUAAGUAGCUAAGAUGAGGUCGUACUGGAGCAGGGCAGGCCCUUAAUCCAACAUGACUGGUGUUCCUUAUAAGAGAAGAUAGGUGGCUGUGGUGGUUUAUGCCUGUAAUCCCAGCACUUUGGGAGGCCAAGCGAGGCAAAUUGCUUGAAGCCCAGGAGUUCAAGAUCAGUCUGGACAACAUGGUGAAAACCCAUCUCUACUAAAAAUACAGAAACUACCCAGGCAUGGUGGUACGUGCCUGUAAUCUCAGCUACCCAGGAGGC
Callithrix jacchus (white-tufted-ear marmoset) is the source of this 3790-nucleotide non-coding RNA. The record is from RefSeq and is a predicted model, not a curated record. Lineage: Eukaryota; Metazoa; Chordata; Mammalia; Primates; Cebidae.